RNAcentral lists this ribosomal RNA (253 nucleotides) under uncultured bacterium. RNAcentral's name for it is "partial 16S ribosomal RNA". It matches the Rfam family "Bacterial small subunit ribosomal RNA", at positions 524 to 776 of the family's 1533-position model. The record is from RNAcentral.
UACGGAGGGUGCAAGCGUUAUCCGGAUUUAUUGGGUUUAAAGGGUCCGUAGGCGGAUCUGUAAGUCAGUGGUGAAAUCUCAUAGCUUAACUAUGAAACUGCCAUUGAUACUGCAGGUCUUGAGUAAGGUAGAAGUAGCUGGAAUAAGUAGUGUAGCGGUGAAAUGCAUAGAUAUUACUUAGAACACCAAUUGCGAAGGCAGGUUACUAUGUCUUAACUGACGCUGAGGGACGAAAGCGUGGGGAGCGAACAGG